RNAcentral lists this ribosomal RNA (476 nucleotides) under Parapyrenochaeta sp. Its description in RNAcentral is "partial large subunit ribosomal RNA". It matches the Rfam family "Eukaryotic large subunit ribosomal RNA", at positions 113 to 593 of the family's 3401-position model. The record is from RNAcentral. Lineage: Eukaryota; Fungi; Ascomycota; Dothideomycetes; Pleosporales; Parapyrenochaetaceae.
AUUUGAAAUCUGGCUCUUUCAGAGUCCGAGUUGUAAUUUGCAGAGGGCGCUUUGGCGUUGGCAGCGGUCCAAGUUCCUUGGAACAGGACGUCACAGAGGGUGAGAAUCCCGUACGUGGUCGCUGGCCUUCGCCGUGUAAAGCCCCUUCGACGAGUCGAGUUGUUUGGGAAUGCAGCUCUAAAUGGGAGGUAAAUUUCUUCUAAAGCUAAAUACUGGCCAGAGACCGAUAGCGCACAAGUAGAGUGAUCGAAAGAUGAAAAGCACUUUGGAAAGAGAGUCAAAUAGCACGUGAAAUUGUUGAAAGGGAAGCGCUUGCAGCCAGACUUGCCUGUAGUUGCUCAUCCGGGCUUUUGCCCGGUGCACUCUUCUGUAGGCAGGCCAGCAUCAGUUUGGACGGUUGGAUAAAGGACUCUGUCACGUACCUCCUCUCGGGGAGGCCUUAUAGGGGAGUCGUCAUGCAACCAGUCUGGACUGAG